CAUUGCUGUUCUUCUUAUCUGAAUCUGACAUUUUUUGUAAGAGUUUUUGAUCAUCUGAAGGAUAGUAGAAUUGUGAGUUGCUCUGUAUCUUAAUCUCCAAGAAACAGAGUACUCAGUCUCAUGUGUUCUGCAACAAUGGAUGAAAACAGAGAACCAAAGGCAAACAAAACCAAAUUUCAGAAACAAAAAUCUAUCUUAAAAAUCAAAUCGGUAAAACUUGAAAUUAAAAACAAAAACAAAAAAGCUUAUCAAGAAAAGUAUGGCUCUUCCAGGGAUAUAGGAUUAAGUUGAGAUAUAGCAGGAUUCUCCGGGGGAAAA
Molecule: long non-coding RNA, 318 nt
Organism: Arabidopsis thaliana (thale cress)
Lineage: Eukaryota; Viridiplantae; Streptophyta; Magnoliopsida; Brassicales; Brassicaceae
Product: other RNA
Exons: 1
Source: RefSeq